CAUUGGUACUGAGACACGGACCAAACUCCUACGGGAGGCAGCAGUGAGGAAUAUUGGUCAAUGGGCGUAAGCCUGAACCAGCCAAGUCGCGUGAGGGAUGAAGGUUCUAUGGAUCGUAAACCUCUUUUAUAAGGGAAUAAAGUGUGGGACGUGUCCUAUUUUGUAUGUACCUUAUGAAUAAGGAUCGGCUAACUCCGUGCCAGCAGCCGCGGUAAUACGGAGGAUCCGAGCGUUAUCCGGAUUUAUUGGGUUUAAAGGGUGCGUAGGCGGCCUUUUAAGUCAGCGGUGAAAGUCUGUGGCUCAACCAUAGAAUUGCCGUUGAAACUGGGGGGCUUGAAUAUGUUUGAGGCAGGCGGAAUGCGUGGUGUAGCGGUGAAAUGCUUAGAUAUCACGCAGAACCCCGAUUGCGAAGGCAGCCUGCCAAGCCAUGACUGACGCUGAUGCACGAAA
This 450-nucleotide ribosomal RNA is filed under the name uncultured bacterium. Its description in RNAcentral is "bacterial SSU rRNA". It matches the Rfam family "Bacterial small subunit ribosomal RNA", at positions 311 to 758 of the family's 1533-position model. The record is from RNAcentral.